Carassius auratus (goldfish) is the source of this 1233-nucleotide RNA transcript. It is a transcript of the gene named myc target protein 1 homolog, with no coding region annotated. The record is from RefSeq and is a predicted model, not a curated record. Lineage: Eukaryota; Metazoa; Chordata; Actinopteri; Cypriniformes; Cyprinidae. The transcript is spliced from 3 exons.
GUGAACAGUUCCUGUGGGCUUGGAGUGAGAGUUUGUCUGCAUGAUCACAUGCUACUGCUAACUAUUAUGGCUUCAAAUGAAACUUAUGUGAUUUGGGAAAUACUUAAACCUAUUGAUGUUGAGAAGCUCAUCCUGGCGUUCUCCUUGUCGAUAUUAAUUGGUCUGCUCAUCGGGAUCUUGAUUUUCCUCCUCCUUACAUGGAUGUCAAGACGGAGAGCUUCGGUCAGGAUCGCCGGAGGUCAAAACCAAUCAUCAGAAUCCAGGGGCUCACGUAACCAGCACUGCCACCUCAGACACUACAAGAGUCACGGCUUCGACAAGAACAGCGAAUCUGUGGGAAGAGUGGUUUUAAACCUUCACAGACAGACUUCUGUAGACCCCAAUGAGCUGCUGGGUAGAAGCCCCAGCUUCCAGAACUCCACGUUUCGGCUGCCAAAAAAAAAGUCUAACAAGACUGGUGAUCAAACAGAGGAUGAAAGCCGAACUGCAUCACUUCCUAACAACACAGAUCCAUUUAGUGCAGAACCAGCGGAGUCCUUCUGGCUGGGGAAGGGCAGUCUAAGAGGUUUUCUACCCAGACAGACUCCACCACCUGCUUAUGACAGUGUCAUCCACAUCUCUCAAGACUCCUGAACCUGACUGCACUGUGAUAAGAGAUAAAGGACUUGCAAAGCAUCGUAUAUAAAUCCCAAAACACGGAUUAAAGAGAUGAAAGUGAAGUAUCUCUCCUGAGUCUUUCUGCAGUCUGUCCGGGAAAAAAAGCUCCUAGGUGCUGGUAAAUCUCCUUUUAAUAGAAAACAACAUUUAAAACAGUAUAUACACUGAAACACAGAAAAAGCUAAUUAGUACAACAGAUGAGAUUUUAAAAAAUGUAGUGAUAACAAACUUACUGUGAGCUCCGAGGUAAAUCUGCGCUUUGGAGAGAGCAAAUGAAGCAAAAGAGGACAGUAAUUGAUACUCUUAAAUACACUCAAUUAUUUUCUUUAAGCUUGGGUAUAAAAACCAGCCGGUUAUCAGCAAUUUUUUUUACUGGCAAAUAUACACUGGCAGGAACUGAGAUGAAAGCCUAUAUUCAAGAUUCAAGAUUUGUAUUUAUUACACACAUGGUUAUAUGGAGAGCACAUGAACAGCAGUGAAAUGUAAGUCAGAUCUGCUCCAUGGAAAGUGCAAUUAUUAAAGAAUACAAACACAAGAAAAAUUACACAAAAUAAUAAGGUAUGGAAAAAGUUAAAU